GCUUAUCGGCAGGCUUUCUAUGCAGUCGUACGGUAACAGGAAGCAGCUUGCUGCUUCGCUGACGAGUGGCGCACUGGUGAGUAAUGUCUGGGAAACUGCCUGAUGGAGGGGGAUAACUACUGGAAACGGUGGCUAAUACCGCAUAACGUCGCAAGACCAAAGAGGGGGACCUUCGGGCCUCUUGCCAUCAUAUGUGCCCAGAUGGGAUUAGCUUGUUGGUGAGGUAACGGCUCACCAAGGCGACGAUCCCUAGCUGGUCUGAGAGGAUGACCAGCCACACUGGAACUGAGACACGGUCCAGACUCCUACGGGAGGCAGCAGUGGGGAAUAUUGCACAAUGGGCGCAAGCCUGAUGCAGCCAUGCCGCGUGUAUGAAGAAGGCCUUCGGGUUGUAAAGUACUUUCAGCGGGGAGGAAGGUGUUGUGGUUAAUAACCGCAGCAAUUGACGUUACCCGCAGAAGAAGCACCGGCUAUCUCCGUGCCUGCAGCCGCGGUAAUACGGAGGGUGCAAGCGUUAAUCGGAAUUACUGGGCGUAAAGCGCACGCAGGCGGUCUGUCAAGUCGGAUGUGAAAUCCCCGGGCUCAACCUGGGAACUGCAUUCGAAACUGGCAGGCUUGAGUCUUGUAGAGGGGGGUAGUAUUCCAGGUGUAGCGGUGAAAUGCGUAGAGAUCUGGAGGAAUACCGGUGGCGAAGGCGGCCCCCUGGACAAAGACUGACGCUCAUGUGCGUAAGCGUGGGGAGCAAACUGGAUUAUAUACCCUGGUUAGUCCACGCCGUAAACGAUGUCUUACUUGGAGGUUGUGCCCUUGAGGCGUGGCUUCCGGAGCUAACGCGUUUAUUUAUACCGCCUGGGGAGUUCGGGCCGCAAGGUUAAAACUCAUAUGGAUUUGACGGGGGGCCCGCACAUGCGGGUGGU
Molecule: ribosomal RNA, 917 nt
Filed under: Salmonella enterica
Lineage: Bacteria; Pseudomonadati; Pseudomonadota; Gammaproteobacteria; Enterobacterales; Enterobacteriaceae
Description: bacterial SSU rRNA
Rfam family: Bacterial small subunit ribosomal RNA
Source: RNAcentral